RNAcentral lists this ribosomal RNA (253 nucleotides) under uncultured bacterium. RNAcentral describes it as "partial 16S ribosomal RNA". It matches the Rfam family "Bacterial small subunit ribosomal RNA", at positions 524 to 776 of the family's 1533-position model. The record is from RNAcentral.
UACAGAGGUCCCAAGCGUUGUUCGGAUUCACUGGGCGUAAAGGGUGCGUAGGUGGUUGGGUAAGUCUGAUGUGAAAUCUCCGGGCUCAACCCGGAAAUGGCAUUGGAUACUAUUCGGCUAGAGGUUUGGAGGGGGGACUGGAAUUCUCGGUGUAGCAGUGAAAUGCGUAGAUAUCAGGAGGAACACCGGUGGCGAAGGCGGCUUUCUGGACAGAAACUGACGCUGAUGCGCGAAAGCUAGGGGAGCAAACAGG